GUCCCUGUAGCUCAAUGGAAAGUGCGUUGGACUUCUAAUCCAAAGGUCGUGGGUUCGAAACCCACCUGGGAUG
RNAcentral lists this transfer RNA (73 nucleotides) under Trichonephila clavata. It matches the Rfam family "tRNA". From Rfam's summary of the family: Transfer RNA (tRNA) molecules are approximately 80 nucleotides in length. Their secondary structure includes four short double-helical elements and three loops (D, anti-codon, and T loops). Further hydrogen bonds mediate the characteristic L-shaped molecular structure. tRNAs have two regions of fundamental functional importance: the anti-codon, which is responsible for specific mRNA codon recognition, and the 3' end, to which the tRNAs corresponding amino acid is attached (by aminoacyl-tRNA synthetases). tRNAs cope with the degeneracy of the genetic code in two manners: having more than one tRNA (with a specific anti-codon) for a particular amino acid; and 'wobble' base-pairing, i.e. permitting non-standard base-pairing at the 3rd anti-codon position. The record is from Rfam by way of RNAcentral. Lineage: Eukaryota; Metazoa; Arthropoda; Arachnida; Araneae; Nephilidae.